UUUCCGUUGGUGAACCAGCGGAAGGAUCAUUACAGAGAUCAUGCCCUCUAAGGGUAGACCUCCCACCCUGUGUUAAUACUCUUGUUGCUUUGGCGGGCUGCGUGCCUCGCGCGCCCGGAUUGCGGUCCGGCCCGCCCGCCAGAGGACCCCUAAACUCUGAAUGUUAGUGUCGUCUGAGUACUAUUAAAUAGUUAAAACUUUCAACAACGGAUCUCUUGGUUCUGGCAUCGAUGAAGAACGCAGC
This 244-nucleotide unclassified non-coding RNA is filed under the name uncultured fungus. RNAcentral describes it as "sequence contains ITS1, 5.8S rRNA gene". The stretch from base 196 to 244 matches the Rfam family "5.8S ribosomal RNA", at positions 1 to 49 of the family's 154-position model. The record is from RNAcentral. Lineage: Eukaryota; Fungi.